This 601-nucleotide ribosomal RNA is filed under the name uncultured bacterium. RNAcentral's name for it is "bacterial SSU rRNA". It matches the Rfam family "Bacterial small subunit ribosomal RNA", at positions 337 to 929 of the family's 1533-position model. The record is from RNAcentral.
UCCUACGGGAGGCAGCAGUAGGGAAUCUUCCACAAUGGACGCAAGUCUGAUGGAGCAACGCCGCGUGAGUGAAGAAGGGUUUCGGCUCGUAAAGCUCUGUUGGUAGUGAAGAAAGAUAGAGGUAGUAACUGGCCUUUAUUUGACGGUAAUUACUUAGAAAGUCACGGCUAACUACGUGCCAGCAGCCGCGGUAAUACGUAGGUGGCAAGCGUUGUCCGGAUUUAUUGGGCGUAAAGCGAGUGCAGGCGGUUCAAUAAGUCUGAUGUGAAAGCCUUCGGCUCAACCGGAGAAUUGCAUCAGAAACUGUUGAACUUGAGUGCAGAAGAGGAGAGUGGAACUCCAUGUGUAGCGGUGGAAUGCGUAGAUAUAUGGAAGAACACCAGUGGCGAAGGCGGCUCUCUGGUCUGCAACUGACGCUGAGGCUCGAAAGCAUGGGUAGCGAACAGGAUUAGAUACCCUGGUAGUCCAUGCCGUAAACGAUGAGUGCUAAGUGUUGGGAGGUUUCCGCCUCUCAGUGCUGCAGCUAACGCAUUAAGCACUCCGCCUGGGGAGUACGACCGCAAGGUUGAAACUCAAAGGAAUUGACGGGGGCCCGCACAAG